AUCCCAGUUAAGCCCAGUUGCUCCUUAAACUCUUCCCAGUCCAUCCCAGUCCAUCCUAGUUCAACCCAGUAUCAUCCCAGUGCCUCCCAGUCCAUCCCAGUUCAUCCCAGUGCCACCAUAUUGCCUUCCCAGUUCACCCCAUUCCGUCCCAGUGCCUCCCAGUAUCAUCCCAGUGCCUCCCAGUCCAUCCCAGUUCAUCCCAGUGCCUCCUUUGUGUCUUCCCAGUUCAUCCCAGUUCAUCCCAUCUCAUCCCAGUAUCAUCCCAGUGCCUCCCAGUUCAUCCCAGUGCCUCCCAGUUCAUCCCAGUGCCUCCUUUGUGUCUUCCCAGUCCAUCCCAGUUCAUCCCAGUUCAUCCCAGUUCAUCCCAGUUCAUCCCAGUUACUGUGUCCCCCCCGCAGGCGCCAGCAUCAGACAUGGAAUACGAACGCAGGUAAGGGGGGGGACCCCAAAAAGGAGAGAC
Molecule: long non-coding RNA, 460 nt
Filed under: Phasianus colchicus (ring-necked pheasant)
Lineage: Eukaryota; Metazoa; Chordata; Aves; Galliformes; Phasianidae
Description: lncRNA (ENSPCLG00000017144.1)
Source: RNAcentral